RNAcentral lists this unclassified non-coding RNA (203 nucleotides) under Hevea brasiliensis (rubber tree). The record is from RNAcentral. Lineage: Eukaryota; Viridiplantae; Streptophyta; Magnoliopsida; Malpighiales; Euphorbiaceae.
AAAAGGUGUCAUUAACACAGUCCUCCAUAGCGCGAGAAUAACAAGGGAGAAGACACCGAUGGUGACUAGGAAGACAACCUGGUCGUGCUUGCAGCAGUUCUUCAGUUCCCAAUUUGGCAUCUCUAUCUGCUUUUUGAUUUCGAAAUUCGGCUGAUUGGGAUGUGAGGAAAUGAGAGAAAAUCCGGACGCAGUGAACCUCGUCC